CUGCUUGUAUGUCUGAGAGGUGGGCAAUCUUCCACGGAAGCUUACAUCAAAAUAUAGCAGUUAAGUUUUUAAAGUGCUACAACAUCUUCUCUCCCUCUUUUCUUUCUUUUGUGUGUGUGUGUGUUUCUCUUGAUUGGUUUAUUCCUUAGCAGCAAUGGAGUCAGUUACAGAAUACAGCCUUUUAUGGAAGUUAUGCCAUCUCAGAAAAUGAGACGCACUCUAUGGAAGGAAUUUUAGAAAAGCUGCUCCUAGAUGCAACCCUGAUUCCUCCCACUGCCAUUAAUCAUGUCAGGUAUCAUUCGUAUCGGAGCGUUGCACAGUUCAAAACCAAAGACGCACAGGAAAUACAGGCAAAAUCAAAACCCAAUUAAAAUCUCAUGACAAUCAGGCUAAUUUUUGACCCAAAGCGGUUAGAGCUUGAGAUGAGCGCAGAAAGUUUCCCCAGACUUCAGCCAUUCUCCAGGGGUUUGGUGUCCAUGAAGUGCGUGCUGAGCAGUUGAUGAAAUAAUAUACUGUACAGUACUGUAUUAUAACUAAGCCACAGGUCCCUGUAUAAAUUGGGCCUGGGAAGCAUCGAAGGGGCAACAGAAGCGGGUAUGUAGAAGGAAAAGGCUGCAGAAAUAUUGCAAAAAAAGAGAGCUCUCCGUCUCCCUCUUCUAUCAAUGGCCAAAAAGUAGCAACUCCGAUGCUCAUCUUUGGACUCCGGAAGCAAUGGAGGUUUACCAGGAGCCUGGCAUGGCUUCAGUCACGUGACGGGAAGCGGGGAACAGGCUGGGCAGCCAACAGAAGGAUCCAUUCAGAGAGUAAAAAAGGGAAGCGGUGCGACGCCCGAACCCCAUCCCUUGUUUCUCCUGCAGGCUUCCUGCAAAUCGUGAAGGCGAUCCGUGGGGAGAAGGGGGAAUGCAGAAUUGGGCCUCCGUCUGUAUCCAGAAGAAAGGGAAGGAAAAUGGCUGCAGUCAGAUCAGCUCAGGUAGGAAGGUUUUCGUGGCUGCUAAUGGUCUUUGUAUCAGAAAAGAAGGCACAAAAUUGAAGAGUAAUAAACACUAUAUGAUAGCCGCA
This 1059-nucleotide long non-coding RNA is filed under the name Pogona vitticeps (central bearded dragon). Its description in RNAcentral is "lncRNA (ENSPVIG00000010509.1)". Lineage: Eukaryota; Metazoa; Chordata; Lepidosauria; Squamata; Agamidae. The record is from RNAcentral.